This 919-nucleotide ribosomal RNA is filed under the name uncultured Ascomycota. Its description in RNAcentral is "eukaryotic LSU rRNA". The stretch from base 271 to 919 matches the Rfam family "Eukaryotic large subunit ribosomal RNA", at positions 1 to 664 of the family's 3401-position model. Lineage: Eukaryota; Fungi; Ascomycota. The record is from RNAcentral.
AUCGAUGAAGAACGCAGCAAAAUGCGAUAAGUAGUGUGAAUUGCAGAAUUCAGUGAAUCAUCGAAUCUUUGAACGCACAUUGCGCCCUUUGGUAUUCCUUAGGGCAUGCCUGUUCGAGCGUCAUUUUCACCUUCAAGCACAGCUUGGUGUUGGGCGUCUGUCCUCGCGGACUCGCCUCGAAACUAUUGGCAGCCACUCCAGCGGCUUUGAGCGCAGCAGAAUUGCGUCUCUUGCGGCGAGGGGGGGCAUCCAUAAGCAUACUUUUUAUUUUGACCUCGGAUCAGGUAGGGAUACCCGCUGAACUUAAGCAUAUCAAUAAGCGGAGGAAAAGAAACCAACAGGGAUUGCCCUAGUAACGGCGAGUGAAGCGGCAACAGCUCAAAUUUGAAAUCCGGCUCCUUUGGGGGUCCGAGUUGUAAUUUGUAGAGGGUGCUUUGGCGUUGGCUGUGGUCUAAGUUCCUUGGAACAGGACGUCGCAGAGGGUGAGAAUCCCGUAUGUGGCCGCCAGUCUUCGCCGUGUAAAGCCCCUUCGACGAGUCGAGUUGUUUGGGAAUGCAGCUCUAAAUGGGAGGUAAAUUUCUUCUAAAGCUAAAUAUUGGCCAGAGACCGAUAGCGCACAAGUAGAGUGAUCGAAAGAUGAAAAGCACUUUGGAAAGAGAGUCAAAAAGCACGUGAAAUUGUUGAAAGGGAAGCGCUUGCAGCCAGACUUGCUUGUAGUUGCUUAGCCAGGCUUUUGCCUGGUGUACUCUUCUGCAUGCAGGCCAGCAUCAGUCCGGGCGGUUGGAUAAAGGCCUGCUAAACGUACCUCCCCUCGGGGAGGACUUAUAGGGUAGGUGUCAUGUAACCAGCCUGGAUUGAGGUCCGCGCAUCUGCUAGGAUGCUGGCGUAAUGGCUGUAAGCAGCCCGUCUUGAAACACGG